UUACAUAGUUCAGUUGGUUAAGAACAUAAGACUCUUAAGAUUAGGGUUGUGGGUUCGUGCCCCACAUUGGGCAAAA
Podarcis lilfordi (Lilford's wall lizard) is the source of this 76-nucleotide non-coding RNA. The record is from the annotation of a GenBank genome assembly. NCBI's taxonomy places the organism in Eukaryota, Metazoa, Chordata, Lepidosauria, Squamata, Lacertidae.